AGAGUUUGAUCCUGGCUCAGGAUGAACGCUAGCGGCAGGCUUAACACAUGCAAGUCGAGGGGUAGAGGUUGCUUGCAACCUUGAGACCGGCGCACGGGUGCGUAACGCGUAUGCAACCUACCUUUUACAGAGGGAUAGCCCAGAGAAAUUUGGAUUAAUACCUCAUAGUAUAUAUCUUUCGCAUGUUAGGUAUAUUAAAGUUCCAACGGUAAAAGAUGGGCAUGCGUCCUAUUAGCUAGAUGGUAAGGUAACGGCUUACCAUGGCUACGAUAGGUAGGGGUCCUGAGAGGGAGAUCCCCCACACUGGUACUGAGACACGGACCAGACUCCUACGGGAGGCAGCAGUGAGGAAUAUUGGACAAUGGGCGCAAGCCUGAUCCAGCCAUGCCGCGUGCAGGAAGAAGCAUCUAUGGCGUGUAAACUGCUUUUGUACAGGAAGAAACAUCCCGACGUGUCGGGACUUGACGGUACUGUAAGAACAAGGAUCGGCUAACUCCGUGCCAGCAGCCGCGGUAAUACGGAGGAUCCAAGCGUUAUCCGGAAUCAUUGGGUUUAAAGGGUCCGUAGGCGGUUUGGUAAGUCAGUGGUGAAAGCCCGCAGCUCAACUGUGGAACGGCCAUUGAUACUGCCAGACUUGAAUUACAAGGAAGUAACUAGAAUAUGUAGUGUAGCGGUGAAAUGCUUAGAUAUUACAUGGAAUACCAAUUGCGAAGGCAGGUUACUACUUGUGGAUUGACGCUGAUGGACGAAAGCGUGGGGAGCGAACAGGAUUAGAUACCCUGGUAGUCCAA
RNAcentral lists this ribosomal RNA (791 nucleotides) under uncultured bacterium. Its description in RNAcentral is "bacterial SSU rRNA". It matches the Rfam family "Bacterial small subunit ribosomal RNA", at positions 8 to 798 of the family's 1533-position model. The record is from RNAcentral.